Molecule: long non-coding RNA, 267 nt
Filed under: Lathyrus oleraceus (garden pea)
Lineage: Eukaryota; Viridiplantae; Streptophyta; Magnoliopsida; Fabales; Fabaceae
Description: Pisum sativum (pea) long non-coding RNA (PSAT_LNC041491)
Source: RNAcentral
CAUAAAUGAUUUGCUUGUUUAAAAUUCAAAUGCUUUUCAUUAUCCAGAAUCAUUAUGCAGGGAUUUCUAAACCCAUUGAACAUAAUGAUCCAACGCCAUCUCCCAAUCUUGAAGUCCUUGUAUCUGAGGUAGAGGAAGAUGAUGUUAAGGGGAUUCCUGAUGAGAUUACCCGCCUUCUUGAGCACGAAAGGAAGCUCAUUCAGCUGUAUCAUGAGAAUCAGCAAAACAGUCAAACUGGGGCAUUGCAAAUGCAAUCAAAAAAAAAAA